GUUGUGGCUCAGUGGUACAGUGCUUGCCUAGCAUGUGUGAGGCACUGGGUUCGAUCCCCAGCACCACA
Molecule: transfer RNA, 68 nt
Filed under: Marmota monax (woodchuck)
Lineage: Eukaryota; Metazoa; Chordata; Mammalia; Rodentia; Sciuridae
Description: tRNA.Ala
Source: RNAcentral